GAUGAACGCUGGCGGCGUGCCUAAUACAUGCAAGUCGAGCGAACGGACGAGAAGCUUGCUUCUCUGAUGUUAGCGGCGGACGGGUGAGUAACACGUGGAUAACCUACCUAUAAGACUGGGAUAACUUCGGGAAACCGUAGCUAAUACCGGAUAAUAUUUUGAACCGCAUGGUUCAAAAGUGAAAGACGGUCUUGCUGUCACUUAUAGAUGGAUCCGCGCUGCAUUAGCUAGUUGGUAAGGUAACGGCUUACCAAGGCAACGAUGCAUAGCCGACCUGAGAGGGUGAGCGGCCACACUGGAACUGAGACACGGUCCAGACUCCUACGGGAGGCAGCAGUAGGGAAUCUUCCGCAAUGGGCGAAAGCCUGACGGAGCAACGCCGCGUGAGUGAUGAAGGUCUUCGGAUCGUAAAACUCUGUUAUUAGGGAAGAACAUAUGUGUAAGUAACUGUGCACAUCCUGACGGUACCUAAUCAGAAAGCCACGGCUAACUACGUG
This 497-nucleotide ribosomal RNA is filed under the name uncultured bacterium. RNAcentral describes it as "partial 16S ribosomal RNA". It matches the Rfam family "Bacterial small subunit ribosomal RNA", at positions 28 to 507 of the family's 1533-position model. The record is from RNAcentral.